CCCUAACCACCUGAACCAAAGUGGCUGCUUAACUAAGCUCUAUAUCGCGUUUCAGGGUUUGUGCUCUGUAAUCAAUGGCGUUUGUUUUAUUUUGAUAUGUUGUUUUUUUGACUGGAAUUUAUUAAAACUCUGUUGGAGACACCCUGUCCUGCACAUUUUACUGGAUUUUCUGCAAACUCUGUCCUGAAACACCGUCAAAACUCAAGCCAGCAUCAGCUUUUUCAGCUUCUGGAGCAUCUCUCUGGGAUCAUCACAUCAUGCAGAGCAGCCUGUACUACACACACAUGCAUCAACAAGCCUUGGGUGCCCGUCACUGCACCGCUGAUUCGCUGGAAGUUGGGUUGUUUGUCUUGGGACCACCACUACUGCCUUUCCCCACUGUCAUAUCUGACAGGACCAUAGCGACAGAGGAUCUUGAG
This 419-nucleotide long non-coding RNA is filed under the name Astyanax mexicanus (Mexican tetra). RNAcentral describes it as "lncRNA (ENSAMXG00005016844.1)". Lineage: Eukaryota; Metazoa; Chordata; Actinopteri; Characiformes; Acestrorhamphidae. The record is from RNAcentral.